RNAcentral lists this ribosomal RNA (1413 nucleotides) under Pseudoduganella dura. RNAcentral's name for it is "bacterial SSU rRNA". It matches the Rfam family "Bacterial small subunit ribosomal RNA". Lineage: Bacteria; Pseudomonadati; Pseudomonadota; Betaproteobacteria; Burkholderiales; Oxalobacteraceae. The record is from RNAcentral.
UCCAUGCAAGUCGAACGGUAACAGGGAGCUUGCUCCGCUGACGAGUGGCGAACGGGUGAGUAAUGUAUCGGAACGUACCCAAGAGUGGGGGAUAACGUAGCGAAAGUUACGCUAAUACCGCAUACGAUCCAAGGAUGAAAGUGGGGGACCUUCGGGCCUCAUGCUCCUGGAGCGGCCGAUAUCUGAUUAGCUAGUUGGUGAGGUAAAGGCUCACCAAGGCGACGAUCAGUAGCUGGUCUGAGAGGACGACCAGCCACACUGGAACUGAGACACGGUCCAGACUCCUACGGGAGGCAGCAGUGGGGAAUUUUGGACAAUGGGGGCAACCCUGAUCCAGCAAUGCCGCGUGAGUGAAGAAGGCCUUCGGGUUGUAAAGCUCUUUUGUCAGGGAAGAAACGGUUUCAGCUAAUAUCUGGAGCUAAUGACGGUACCUGAAGAAUAAGCACCGGCUAACUACGUGCCAGCAGCCGCGGUAAUACGUAGGGUGCAAGCGUUAAUCGGAAUUACUGGGCGUAAAGCGUGCGCAGGCGGUUUUGUAAGUCUGUUGUGAAAUCCCCGGGCUUAACCUGGGAAUGGCAAUGGAGACUGCAAGGCUAGAGUUUGGCAGAGGGGGGUAGAAUUUCCACGUGUAGCAGUGAAAUGCGUAGAGAUGUGGAGGAACACCGAUGGCGAAGGCAGCCCCAUGGGUCAAGACUGACGCUCAUGCACGAAAGCGUGGGGAGCAAACAGGAUUAGAUACCCUGGUAGUCCACGCCCUAAACGAUGUCUACUAGUUGUCGGGUCUUAAUUGACUUGGUAACGCAGCUAACGCGUGAAGUAGACCGCCUGGGGAGUACGGUCGCAAGAUUAAAACUCAAAGGAAUUGACGGGGACCCGCACAAGCGGUGGAUGAUGUGGAUUAAUUCGAUGCAACGCGAAAAACCUUACCUACCCUUGACAUGGCAGGAAUCCCGGAGAGAUUUGGGAGUGCUCGAAAGAGAACCUGCACACAGGUGCUGCAUGGCUGUCGUCAGCUCGUGUCGUGAGAUGUUGGGUUAAGUCCCGCAACGAGCGCAACCCUUGUCAUUAGUUGCUACGAAAGAGCACUCUAAUGAGACUGCCGGUGACAAACCGGAGGAAGGUGGGGAUGACGUCAAGUCCUCAUGGCCCUUAUGGGUAGGGCUUCACACGUCAUACAAUGGUACAUACAGAGGGCCGCCAACCCGCGAGGGGGAGCUAAUCCCAGAAAGUGUAUCGUAGUCCGGAUUGUAGUCUGCAACUCGACUGCAUGAAGUUGGAAUCGCUAGUAAUCGCGGAUCAGCAUGUCGCGGUGAAUACGUUCCCGGGUCUUGUACACACCGCCCGUCACACCAUGGGAGCGGGUUUUACCAGAAGUAGGUAGCUUAACCGCAAGGAGGGCGCUACCACAGUAGG